This 755-nucleotide ribosomal RNA is filed under the name Nigrospora sp. WL02. Its description in RNAcentral is "eukaryotic LSU rRNA". The stretch from base 152 to 305 matches the Rfam family "5.8S ribosomal RNA". Lineage: Eukaryota; Fungi; Ascomycota; Sordariomycetes; Amphisphaeriales; Apiosporaceae. The record is from RNAcentral.
GGCCUCGGGCUGCAGGUCGAACCCAUGUGACCUUAUCUCUUUGUUGCCUCGGCGCAAGCUACCCGGGACCUCGGUCUCUGGCGGCCCGCCGGUGGACACACUAAACUCUGUUAUCUUUGUGAUUAUCUGAAUGUCUUAUUUAAUAAGUCAAAACUUUCAACUUCGGAUCUCUUGGUUCUGGCCUCUAUGAACAACGCAACCAAAUGCAAUAAGUAAUGUGAAUUGCAUAAUUCAAUGAAUCAUCUUAUCUUUGAACUCAAAUUGCGCCCACCACUAUUCUCCUGGGCGUGCCUGUUCCAGCGUCAUUUCAACCCCUAAACUCAUCUUAUUGUUGGGAAUCUGCGUUUGGAGUUCCUCAAACACAUUGGCGGAGUGGCACCACUCCUCUGAACGUAGUAAUUUUUUAUCUCGCUUUUGUUAGGCGCUGCCUCCCCGGCCGUUAAACACCCCAUUUUUUCUGGUUGACCCCGGAUCUUGUACGAAUACCCGCUGAACUUGAACAUAUCCCUAGUCAGAUGAAGCAUAUCAAUAACGCGGAGAAAAAGUGGAUGGUUGCCCUACCGUCGCGUCAUGUCGAGCAUGCCAUUCUCUUGUCGCGGGCUGGCUCAUCGACCCUUAAGUACCAUCAACUGUGGUACCAUCAACUGCAGACCCCACGUCAGGCGGGAUUACGCAGCUAAGUUUAUGCAUAUCAUAACGCGGAGGAGCAACCACGGGGUGAAUAGAGUAGCUUACUGUACAUACUCGCGAGCGAC